RNAcentral lists this ribosomal RNA (921 nucleotides) under Triticum aestivum (bread wheat). Its description in RNAcentral is "partial small subunit ribosomal RNA". Lineage: Eukaryota; Viridiplantae; Streptophyta; Magnoliopsida; Poales; Poaceae. The record is from RNAcentral.
GGUGGGGUUGUCCUGAAGCAAAAUAUCCCAAUUGAGGUACAUGCGUCGGAGGUGUACACCAGGAUAAUGUUUGAGAAAUUUGGUGAAGUAUUGUAUGGAUGUGGAUCUUAUGACCUAAUAGAAGUCAAGCCACACUUGGAGUAUAUUGCUAGGCACAUCAAAUUUCAGUCAAGGGAAAAAUGGUGCAAGAACGAGUUUGUGAUCACUGUGAGCGAGGCAGCCGACGAGUUCAAGUGUGAGUGUGGGACGUUUGAGCACUAUGGAAUGGUGUGCAGCCAUGCACUUAAGGUGAUGAUACACCUAAAACUGCGUGAGCUCCCUGCGAAGCAUGUGCUGAAGAUAUGGACAAAAGACGCGAGAGAUAUACUGCCGCCAGAGUAUUUGCGCUACCAAAAGGAUCAUGGGCCGCUCAAGUAUUCCUCUCGUCGACACAACACUUUAUACCUCUUGGCGCUGGAUGUUGUUAAGUUAGGUGACAUCAAUGUGGAAGCAUAUGCUCUUGCUGAGGAAAAACUGCGACAUGUCAAAGUGCAGCUGGAGCCAGUUGCUGCUGUGAGGGAUGGACUUGGGUUGUCUGAUAAGGAGCUGGCCGCAGAUUCAGCGGGUUCCGGCGUUGGUAACAAGCAGCACUUUGGUCGACCUGAGUCUGAGCACACCAUUUCACAGGGAUUGGAUGUGUUCCCAGCUGCAUCAAAGAAGCGGCCGGCUGGGCGCCCUACAACCAGCCGUGACAAGCCUCCAUAUGAACAACCAUCAAAGAGGACUAGGUUUUGUUCAAUAUGCAGACUUCAGGGGCACAAGAGCACGACAUGCCCUGCAAGGGGUGAUGUGCCAAAGGCGCCCCGGAAAUCUCCUCGCUGCUCAAAAUGUGGUUUGACCGGGCAUAGGAAGAACACAUGCAGCAACCCCCCGAAAGUAUGA